This 77-nucleotide transfer RNA is filed under the name Fodinicurvata halophila. Its description in RNAcentral is "tRNA-Pro". It matches the Rfam family "tRNA". From Rfam's summary of the family: Transfer RNA (tRNA) molecules are approximately 80 nucleotides in length. Their secondary structure includes four short double-helical elements and three loops (D, anti-codon, and T loops). RNAcentral also lists the same sequence under 13 other names. Lineage: Bacteria; Pseudomonadati; Pseudomonadota; Alphaproteobacteria; Rhodospirillales; Rhodovibrionaceae. The record is from RNAcentral.
CGGGGCGUAGCGCAGUCUGGUAGCGCAUCUGCUUUGGGAGCAGAGGGUCGCAGGUUCAAAUCCUGCCGCCCCGACCA